CGUAGGGAAUCUGCCCAUGUGCCCGGGACAACAGAUGGAAACGUCUGCUAAAACCGGAUAGGUGGCAAGGAGGCAUCUUCUUGCGAUUAAAGGGGCUACGGCCUUGAACAUGGAUGAUCCUGCGGUGCAUUAGCUGGUUGGUGAGGUAACGGCUCACCAAGGCGAUGAUGCAUAGCCGACCUGAGAGGGUGAACGGCCACAUUGGGACUGAGACACGGCCCAA
Molecule: ribosomal RNA, 223 nt
Filed under: uncultured bacterium
Lineage: Bacteria
Description: partial 16S ribosomal RNA
Rfam family: Bacterial small subunit ribosomal RNA
Source: RNAcentral